Molecule: ribosomal RNA, 348 nt
Filed under: uncultured bacterium
Lineage: Bacteria
Description: bacterial SSU rRNA
Rfam family: Bacterial small subunit ribosomal RNA
Source: RNAcentral
AGCGAACGUUUGCGGCGGGCCUAACACAUGCAAGUCGAACGCACUAGCAAUAGUGAGUGGCGCACGGGUGCGUAACACGUGGGUAAUCAACCCUUCAGCCUGGGAUAACGACUCGAAAGGGUCGCUAAUACCGGAUACGGCGCGAGAGGCUUCGGCUUCUCACGAGAAAGCCACGCAAGGGGCACUGAAGGACGAGCCUGUGGCCCAUCAGCUAGUUGGUGAGGUAAGAGCUCACCAAGGCUAAGACGGUAGCUGGUCUGAGAGGAUGAUCAGCCACACUGGAACUGAGACACGGUCCAGACUCCUACGGGAGGCAGCAGUGGGGAAGUAUUGCGCAAUGGGCGAAAG